This 497-nucleotide ribosomal RNA is filed under the name uncultured bacterium. Its description in RNAcentral is "partial 16S ribosomal RNA". It matches the Rfam family "Bacterial small subunit ribosomal RNA", at positions 28 to 507 of the family's 1533-position model. The record is from RNAcentral.
GAUGAACGCUGGCGGCGUGCCUAAUACAUGCAAGUCGAGCGAACAGCCGACGAGCUUGCUCCUCUGACGUUAGCGGCGACCGGGUGAGUCACACGUGGGUAACCUACCUAUCAGACUGGGAUCACUUCGGGAAACCGGAGCUAAUACCGGAUAAAAUAUUGAACCGCAUGGUUCAAUAGUGAAAGACGGUUUUGCUGUCACUUAUAGAUGGAUCCUCGCCGCAUUAGGUAGGUGGUAAGGUAACGGCUUACCAAGGCGACGAGGCGUAGCCGACCUAAGAGAGUGAUGGGCCGCAGGGGAACGGGGACAAGCAGCAGACCCGGGAGGGAGACAGCAGUAGGGAUUCUUCGGCAAGGAGCGGAAGGGUGUCGUAGCAACGGGGCGCAAGUGAGGAAGGGCAUCGGAGCGUAAAGCACUGCGAUUAGGGAGGAACAAACGGCUAUGGAAAUAGGCACUUAUUGACGGUACCUAACCAGAAAGCCACGGCUAACUCCGUG